Molecule: ribosomal RNA, 495 nt
Filed under: uncultured bacterium
Lineage: Bacteria
Description: bacterial SSU rRNA
Rfam family: Bacterial small subunit ribosomal RNA
Source: RNAcentral
CGCUAGCGACAGGCCUAACACAUGCAAGUCAGGGGCAGCACAAGGAGCAAUCUGAGGUGGCGACCGGCGCACGGGUGAGUAACACGUAUGCAACCUGACCUGUAAAGCGGGGGAAUAAACCCCGUUGAAAGACGGACUAAUACCGCAUAAUACUAAAUUACUGCAUGGUAAUUUAUUUAAACAUUUAUGGCUUACAGAUGGGCAUGCGCAUGAUUAGCUAGUUGGAGAGGUAACGGCUCCCCAAGGCAACGAUCAUUAGGGGUUCUGAGAGGAAGGUCCCCCACACUGGUACUGAGACACGGACCAGACUCCUACGGGAGGCAGCAGUGAGGAAUAUUGGUCAAUGGACGAGAGUCUGAACCAGCCAAGUCGCGUGCAGGAGGAAUGUUCCCUAUGGAUUGUAAACUGCUUUUGCAGGGGAAUAAAGUGCAUCACGUGUGAUGUUUUGUAUGUACUCUGCGAAUAAGGAUCGGCUAACUCCGUGCCAGCCGCCGC